Molecule: ribosomal RNA, 481 nt
Filed under: uncultured bacterium
Lineage: Bacteria
Description: partial 16S ribosomal RNA
Rfam family: Bacterial small subunit ribosomal RNA
Source: RNAcentral
GAUGAACGCUGGCGGCGUGCUUAACACAUGCAAGUCGAACGAAGCACUUUAUUUGAUUUCCUUCAGGACUGAUUAUUUUGUGACUGAGUGGCGGACGGGUGAGUAACGCGUGGGUAACCUGCCUUGUACAGGGGGAUAACAGUUGGAAACGGCUGCUAAUACCGCAUAAGCGCACAGCAUCGCAUGAUGCAGUGUGAAAAACUCCGGUGGUAUAAGAUGGACCCGCGUUGGAUUAGCUAGUUGGUGAGGUAACGGCCCACCAAGGCGACGAUCCAUAGCCGACCUGAGAGGGUGACCGGCCACAUUGGGACUGAGACACGGCCCAAACUCCUACGGGAGGCAGCAGUGGGGAAUAUUGCACAAUGGGCGAAAGCCUGAUGCAGCGACGCCGCGUGAGCGAAGAAGUAUUUCGGUAUGUAAAGCUCUAUCAGCAGGGAAGAUAAUGACGGUACCUGACUAAGAAGCACCGGCUAAAUACGUG